RNAcentral lists this ribosomal RNA (429 nucleotides) under Verrucomicrobiota bacterium. RNAcentral's name for it is "Verrucomicrobia bacterium partial 16S ribosomal RNA". It matches the Rfam family "Bacterial small subunit ribosomal RNA", at positions 355 to 776 of the family's 1533-position model. The record is from RNAcentral. Lineage: Bacteria; Pseudomonadati; Verrucomicrobiota.
UAGGGAAUCUUCCGCAAUGGACGAAAGUCUGACGGAGCAACGCCGCGUGAGUGAAGAAGGAUUUCGGUUCGUAAAACUCUGUUGUUAGGGAAGAAAAAAUGUAUAGUAACUAUAUACAAAAGAGACGGUACCUAACCAGAAAGCCACGGCUAACUACGUGCCAGCAGCCGCGGUAAUACGCAGGUGGCAAGCGUUGUCCGGAAUUAUUGGGCGUAAAGCGCGCGCAGGUGGUUUAGAAAGUCUGAUGUGAAAGCCCACGGCUCAACCGUGGAGGGUCAUUGGAAACUAAUAAACUUAAGUGCAGGAGAGAAAAGUGGAAUUCCUAGUGUAGCGGUGAAAUGCGUAGAGAUUAGGAGGAACACCGGUGGCGAAAGCGGCUUUUUGGCCUGCAACUGACACUGAGGCGCGAAAGCGUGGGGAGCAAACAGG